AGUGAACGCUGGCGGUAGGCCUAACACAUGCAAGUCGAACGGCAGCACAGUAAGAGCUUGCUCUUACGGGUGGCGAGUGGCGGACGGGUGAGGAAUACAUCGGAAUCUACUUUUUCGUGGGGGAUGACGUAGGGAAACUUACGCUAAUACCACAUACGACCUACGGGUGAAAGCAGGGGAUCUUCGGACCUUGCGCGAUUGAAUGAGCCGAUGUCGGAUUAGCUAGUUGGCGGGGUAAAGGCCCACCAAGGCGACGAUCCGUAGCUGGUCUGAGAGGAUGAUCAGCCACACUGGAACUGAGACACGGUCCAGACUCCUACGGGAGGCAGCAGUGGGGAAUAUUGGACAAUGGGCGCAAGCCUGAUCCAGCCAUACCGCGUGGGUGAAGAAGGCCUUCGGGUUGUAAAGCCCUUUUGUUGGGAAAGAAAAGCAGCAGGUUAAUACCCCGCUGUUCUGACGGUACCCAAAGAAUAAGCACCGGCUAACUUCGUG
Molecule: ribosomal RNA, 492 nt
Filed under: uncultured bacterium
Lineage: Bacteria
Description: partial 16S ribosomal RNA
Rfam family: Bacterial small subunit ribosomal RNA
Source: RNAcentral